ACACUCCUGCGGGAGGCAGCAGUGGGGAAUAUUGCACAAUGGGCGCAAGCCUGAUGCAGCCAUGCCGCGUGUAUGAAGAAGGCCUUCGGGUUGUAAAGUACUUUCAGCGGGGAGGAAGGCGAUAAGGUUAAUAACCUUGUCGAUUGACGUUACCCGCAGAAGAAGCACCGGCUAACUCCGUGCCAGCAGCCGCGGUAAUACGGAGGGUGCAAGCGUUAAUCGGAAUUACUGGGCGUAAAGCGCACGCAGGCGGUCUGUCAAGUCGGAUGUGAAAUCCCCGGGCUCAACCUGGGAACUGCAUUCGAAACUGGCAGGCUAGAGUCUUGUAGAGGGGGGUAGAAUUCCAGGUGUAGCGAUGAAAUGCGUAGAGAUCUGGAGGAAUACCGGUGGCGAAGGCGGCCCCCUGGACAAAGACUGACGCUCAGGUGCGAAAGCGUGGGGAGCAAACAGGAUUAGAAACCCCGGUAGUCCC
This 472-nucleotide ribosomal RNA is filed under the name uncultured organism. Its description in RNAcentral is "partial 16S ribosomal RNA". It matches the Rfam family "Bacterial small subunit ribosomal RNA", at positions 333 to 797 of the family's 1533-position model. The record is from RNAcentral.